Molecule: ribosomal RNA, 301 nt
Filed under: uncultured bacterium
Lineage: Bacteria
Description: partial 16S ribosomal RNA
Rfam family: Bacterial small subunit ribosomal RNA
Source: RNAcentral
CAGUAGCCGCGGUAAUACGGAGGGUGCAAGCGUUAAUCGGAAUUACUGGGCGUAAAGCGCACGCAGGCGGUCUGACAAGUCAGAUGUGAAAUCCCCGGGCUUAACCUGGGAACUGCAUUUGAAACUGGCAGGCUAGAGUCUUGUAGAGGGGGGUAGAAUUCCAGGUGUAGCGGUGAAAUGCGUAGAGAUCUGGAGGAAUACCGGUGGCGAAGGCGGCCCCCUGGACAAAGACUGACGCUCAGGUGCGAAAGCGUGGGGAGCAAACAGGAUUAGAUACCCCGGUAGUCCCUGUCUCUUAUAC